AACAACAGCUCAACUCGAACUUGUUGGCUUGUGCUUGUGGCUGUUCUGUUUGCUGUUUUUCACAAAUGCUACUAAAAUUCUGUGAAACGGUCAAAUUAUUUUAACGAUUACAGUGUCAGUUUUGCGGUAAUUUAUUACAACUUUACGAAUAGUUAGAUCGCAUACUCCGCUUGAACGCUUCUUAAACGCAUUGUGGGUCCAUCACAAUUACAAGUGCAUUGAAUGCAUCAAGUUCUGUGAUAAGAUGUACUAGAACGGAGGGUUGUCACAUCCUCCUGUCGUCAGUGCACUCUUAUGACUACCUACGGAUAGGAGUUCAGGAAACUAAUAACAAUACAUUUAUAUACAUAGUAGCCAGUCAAGGCAGAUAGAGCAUUACUUAGAGCAGCUCCGCAACAAUUUUUAAAGAGUUGGUAGUAUCAUCCGAGAUGUCACUGAGCACGCCUAUCCAAUUGGUAGCCUUGAUGAUGUCAUCAUACUGUCCUCAACUUUUCUUUUCCUUUUUCCUCUCAUGAUGUCCGUAUUAAAUUUAGCUGAUCCUGAGCUGGAGGCCAAAACGAAAAAGGCAACUGAGCGUCUCUCCGAAAAUAUGCAUAUCGUAGCAAAUGAACCAUCCCUUGCAUUUUUCCGAGUGCAAGAACAUGUCAGAAAAGCUCUACCGCCAAUGGUGGAGAAACGAAUGGAAGUUAGUCAGCUUCAUCAGCAUCUUCAAGGGCACAUUUAUGACAUUGAGUACGCUAUUGGAAAAAGCAAGGAAGGUUCAUCAGUGUACAAAAGGUUGUCAGCCCACAUAACACUGGACCUUCCUGACUUGCCUGAGUUCUCAGAUGCUAUUCGUGAAACUGCCAACAAAGUUGAGUCAAUAAUGACCUCUGCUCGUCAAACUUCCUCCCAGCAGUGAUCAAGCUAGACAACUGGCACCUCAUUGUCAUUUUUCAUCCUUUGUGAGCAGUGUCGCAUAUACCACUGAACGGUGUCUCGGACAAGUAGGCACUGCUGUCAGAACCCCUCCCCUCCUCGCACAACAUGGAGAAGUGUACCCUCACCUCUGAUGCUGGAGGACAAGACACAUCAAAAACUUCAAUGUGGGUACGGUUUUUCGCUUUAAAGAUGUUGCUGAAACGCCCGAAACCCCUGUAUGGCUCCAAACCGCCAUCGCCAUUGGAUAGAACCGAUGGAAAUAAUGCAAAAAAAGUGCAUUUUUGUGAAUGAGGGCGAAUAUAGGGUGGUUUAAUUAACUAGCAGAUAUCACUUGAGUGUAUUACAGAACUAUUCAAAAAUUGCUGUAAAAAAUUUGGGCCUAAAACGCGUUGCUGCCGAAUUGAUCCUCUAUUUAGCGUUCUAGCCGGUGACUGCCGCUAAGGGCGUCCAGCCGAAGUUCGAGCAAUAAAUCACACUCUAAAACGAAGGAAAACGUAUAUCACGAGUGAAAUAUGUCCCCUACAAGAUCCACUCCAAAAAUUGACAGAGUUCGCCGUGCAUUGCCCGUGAAAAUCACCCAUCUUCAAAAACAACGAACUCGUCAGGCAACCCCUUAAACCAAGUCUCGCCAAAAUAAAAGAAAAUGUGGUACGACGUUGAAAGGCCUAGUGACUCUUCAUAGAUUCUAGUUACACCAUCUAGCGGUAUGCCCGGAUAUUUUCCACCGUUGCCAAGCUACAGCAAAAUUCCGGGUUUUUUGGGUUCCUCCUCGUAUAUUAACAAACCAACAUUUUUACCACAGCUAGAGUUUCUUAUUAUUACAGGAAGUUUAAGUCCAGUACUUGAUAGUCCAGUACUCCAGUGCUCAUGGGAUGCUCCGGGUGUGUGAAAAUUUGGUUUUGUUGUAUAUAGCUUUCAUAUUUUCGCGCCAUGUCAAACUGUUGUAUGGCCUUCACAUUUUCCCGCUUUGUCAAGCCCGCCUACUCACUUCGGUCAUCGUCCUUCUAGGCUCUGGGCCUGUCUCGUUUUUCUUGUGCUCUUUUUGAAGAAUAAAGUGUCUUUUCAUCGUCCAAA
Molecule: non-coding RNA, 1995 nt
Organism: Bemisia tabaci
Lineage: Eukaryota; Metazoa; Arthropoda; Insecta; Hemiptera; Aleyrodidae
Source: RefSeq, a predicted model, not a curated record